UACCAGAGGGUCAAAUUAUAGAUUAUAGGUAAGUGAAGUUAUUAAGAUGAUUAUUGGGACUUUUUAAGAAAAGGUGAAAUUUAAUUAAAGGAUUASUUCUUAAGGAUAASAUAUAUGAAUUCACGAAAUCUAUUGGAAAAACUGGGAUUAGAUACCCCAUUAUAGUAGACGUAAAUAUAUUACUAGAGUACUACGAAUAGAAUUUAAAACUCAAAGAACUUGGCGGUGUCUUAGACUACCUAGGGGAACCUGUUUUGUAAGCGAUAAUCCACGUUGGAUCUUACCUUCCCUGGUAAUCAGUAUGUAUACCGUUGUCGUCAGGCAACUCUUGAGGAUUGAAAAGUUGGCGACUUAAAAGUUAACUUAUAAUGUCAAAUCAAGGUGCAGCUUAUGGGGGGGUAGAAAUGGGUUACAUUAAUAAUAUUAUAGUGGAAUUAGCUCUGAAAUAGGCUAUAGGAAAUAGGACUUGGAAGUAAAGAGGGAUAUGUGAAUGGUUUGAAUAUAGCUCUGGGACGUGU
RNAcentral lists this ribosomal RNA (518 nucleotides) under Cystiscus sp. MNHN-IM-2013-43728. RNAcentral describes it as "partial 12S ribosomal RNA". The record is from RNAcentral. Lineage: Eukaryota; Metazoa; Mollusca; Gastropoda; Neogastropoda; Cystiscidae.